RNAcentral lists this unclassified non-coding RNA (20 nucleotides) under Xenopus tropicalis (tropical clawed frog). RNAcentral describes it as "piRNA piR-xtr-2692135". The record is from RNAcentral. Lineage: Eukaryota; Metazoa; Chordata; Amphibia; Anura; Pipidae. RNAcentral also lists the same sequence under 1 other name.
AAAAAAAAAAAAAAAAAAAA